Molecule: long non-coding RNA, 857 nt
Organism: Apodemus sylvaticus (European woodmouse)
Lineage: Eukaryota; Metazoa; Chordata; Mammalia; Rodentia; Muridae
Exons: 3
Source: RefSeq, a predicted model, not a curated record
UCUCUCCUCUCGUUUCUGGUUUUGGGUUUUUUGAGAGAGGGUUUCUCUGUGCAGCCCUGGCUGUCCUGGAACUCAGUCUGUAGAACAGGCUAGCCUCUAGCUCAGAGAUCUUCCUGCCUCCUGAGUGCUGGAUUAAAGGUGUUCGCUCCCACGUGGCUCAGCGCCACUAGUACAAUUUUUAUGGCAUCCAUUUUACUACCGGGUAUCUCUGGUAUCACUGUCAUUUGAAUGCUGGCUGUCCCCCGGAGGCUGUCCCCCAGCUCGGCUCGAUUGUAAGGUAGUGGGAAAUCCUCAGAAAGGGACCGCGGAGCCUCAGGAAUAUCUCCCAGUACAGCAAGAUGAUCAACUUCACUCUAUCACACGCUCCUGUCAGAAUGAGAUGUACCAGAGACCCCGGAGAAACGGAGCCAAUUGACCACAGACUGCCACUUUCGAAACGACACCGGACACCUGAGGACAGUGCCCAUGUUCCAAGCCUGCUGAAAUACCCCACACCAGCCUAGCCUCUGCUCCCUGCCUUGCCUCACAGGAUUCCCUCUUCCCAGGGCUGGAGAGCUGGCUCAACGGGUAAGAGCACCGACUGCUCUUCCGAAGGUCCUGAGUUCAAAUCCCAGCAAUGGCAUGGUGGCUCACAACCAUCUGUAAUGGGAUCUGAUGCCCUCUUCUGGUGUGUCUGAAGACAGCUACAGUGUACUUACAUAUAAUAAUAAAUCUUUGGGCCAGAGCAAGCAGGGCCUGAGUGAGCAGAGGUCCUGAGUUCAAUUCCCAGCAACUACUCCAGUUGUUUCUCCCACUGUGGGUCACAUAAUGGCUCCCACAUAAUGGCUCACAACCAUCUGCACAGCUACAAUAUACUC